RNAcentral lists this long non-coding RNA (201 nucleotides) under Gossypium raimondii (Peruvian cotton). Its description in RNAcentral is "long non-coding RNA (GRAI_LNC000428)". The record is from RNAcentral. Lineage: Eukaryota; Viridiplantae; Streptophyta; Magnoliopsida; Malvales; Malvaceae.
AGGGGUUUUCUUUUCUUUUUCUUUUCAUUUUUAAUUUAGGUUUUCUCUUUUCUUUUUAAAGUAGAUUUUAUUCUUUUAGUUUCUUUCUCCUUUUUGGUAAAACAAUUUGAAAAUAAAGAUGGAUGAAGCUUUUUGGUGCAAUUGGUUCCACAUCUAAAUGAAUAUUUCUUAACCUUAUCUCUAUAUCGUGCUUAUUAAAUG